Molecule: long non-coding RNA, 1608 nt
Organism: Piliocolobus tephrosceles (Ugandan red Colobus)
Lineage: Eukaryota; Metazoa; Chordata; Mammalia; Primates; Cercopithecidae
Source: Ensembl
AAAGUGCUGGGGUUACAGGAGUGAGCCACUGCACCCGGCCAACUAUCUACUUUCAUCUACCAUCCAUCAUCUGUCUAUUGAUCAACUGUCCUUCUACAAAAUACUAUCCUCUGUCAAUCCACCACCCAUCAUCCACCAUUCAUAAUGCACCACCCAUCCAUCCGUCAUUCACCAUCCACCAUUACCUUCCAUCUAUCUACCAUCCAUCAUCCAACAUCCUUCUAUCCACCAAUCUGCCCACUUAUCCAUCCAUCAUUCACCCAUCCUCCAUCCAUCCAUUCACCUAUCCAUCAUCCACUCAUUCACCACCCAUCCAUCUACCACCCACUCAUUCACCAUUCAUUUACCCACCAUCUAUUCAUGCAUACGUCCACCAUCCAUCUAUCUACCAUUCAUCCAUCCACCACCCACUCCCACUAUCCAUCCAUUCACCAUCUAUCCAUCCACACAUUCACCAUCCACCCAUCUACCACCUACCAUCCAUCCAUUCAUCCACCAGCCAUCCACACAUUCACCAUUCACUCAUCCACCAUCCAUUCUCCACCAUCCAUCUAUUCAUCCAUCCAUCUACCCAUCCACAUAUCCACCAUCCAUUCAUCCAUCAUCCACAAUUCACUCAUCCACCAUCCAUUCAUCCAUCAUCCACAAUUCACUCAUCCACCGUUCAUUCAUCCAUCCACCCAUCCAUUCGCACAUCCACCAUCCACCAUCCAUUCAUCCACCAUCCACCCAUCAUUCAGUCACCCACCAUCCACCAUCCAUCCAUCCUCCCAUCCAUGUGUCCAUUCACCCAUUCGCCAUCCACUCAUCCACCACCCACCAUCUAUCAUCGCUCAUCCACUAUCUACCAUCCACCAUCCAUCCAUCCACCAUCCACUUACCCACAAUCUGCCAUCCACCAUUAGCCAUUCAGCCAUCCAUUCAUCCACCACCCAUCCAUCACCAUUCACAUCCGCCAUCUGCCAUCCACCUAUUCACCAUCCACCAUUCAUUCAUUCACCAUCCAUCCUUCCAUCCACCCACCAUCCACCACCCACCACCCACCAUCCACCAUCUAUCAUCCACUAUCUACCAUCUGCCACCCAUCCAUCCACUCAAUAUUCACCAGCUCCAUUAACUUGUUCACUAUCCACCACCCACCAACCACCAUCCACCUACCAUCCAUCAUCCACCAUUUAUCCAUUAUCUACUUAUCUACCAUCCAUUACCCUUCCAUUUACUAUCCCAUCCACCAUCCGCUAUCCACCCAUUAUCCACUAUCCACUAUCUCUUCACUAUCCACCAUCCAUCCAUCCAUCUCCAUCCACAAUUCACCAUUUAUGCAACCAUCAUCCACCAUCUAUCCAUCUACAUCUACCUAUUCACCAUCCACCAUCCAUCCAUUCAGCAUUCAUCACUCACCAAACACCCACCAUUUAAUACCCACUUCUUUUUUUUUAGAGAUGGGGUUUCACUCUUAUUGCCCAGGCUUGAGUGCAAUGGCGUGAUCUCUGCUCACCACAACCUCCACCUUCCGGGUUCAAGCGAUUCUCCUGCCUUAGCCUUUGGAGUAGUGGGGAUUACAGGCAUGUGCCACCACGCCCAGCUAAUUUUGUAUUUUUAGUAGAG